RNAcentral lists this ribosomal RNA (301 nucleotides) under uncultured bacterium. RNAcentral's name for it is "partial 16S ribosomal RNA". It matches the Rfam family "Bacterial small subunit ribosomal RNA", at positions 509 to 809 of the family's 1533-position model. The record is from RNAcentral.
CAGUCGCCGCGGGAAUACGAAGGGGGCAAGCGUUGUUCGGAAUUACUGGGCGUAAAGCGCACGUAGGCUGCUUUGUAAGUUAGAGGUGAAAGCCUGGUGCUCAACACCAGAACUGCCUUUAAGACUGCAGAGCUAGAACGUCGGAGAGGUGAGUGGAAUUCCGAGUGUAGAGGUGAAAUUCGUAGAUAUUCGGAAGAACACCAGUGGCGAAGGCGGCUCACUGGACGACUGUUGACGCUGAGGUGCGAAAGCGUGGGGAGCAAACAGGAUUAGAUACCCCAGUAGUCCCUGUCUCUUAUAU